Pezoporus flaviventris is the source of this 542-nucleotide long non-coding RNA. RefSeq lists it as uncharacterized. The record is from RefSeq and is a predicted model, not a curated record. The transcript is spliced from 2 exons. NCBI's taxonomy places the organism in Eukaryota, Metazoa, Chordata, Aves, Psittaciformes, Psittacidae.
GUGCAUCGUCAGGCAGGCCGAACAGAAAAGUAGCCAGGAUUUCGGUGAGGCCAGUAACAAUGUGGGAACCAGCUCCCCAGUGUGCAGCUGAGAGAUUCUCCCUAUUGGUUGAGUGCAAGCUCCUCCACACCUCCAGAAACAUCGAAUACGUCUUCCUUGAUGGCUGCAAGAACAUCACUGCAUCUCACAUCCUGGCAGCUGCAGGCAUCCACAACAUCUACAAAGGACCUGCCUACUGCCCUCUUCAACUCAAAUACCCCCCCCCCCCUUUUUCACCUUCCCCAUGCAGCUGGAGGAGGAAGCCCAGGGCUUGGAACACUUCCCUGCUUCCAAGAAAAGGCUGCCGGUGUUCCGCCAGCUCUGCGGGGAGGCUGUGCCAGGCAUCCAUCGUCAAGACUCAGGCCAAGGGCUGAAGAAGCUGCCUGAUGCCGAAGCACCAAGGGAGGACGUGGAAGGUGGCAGUAUGAGGCAGGCAGCAGGGUGCUCCCCUCCCCAAAAGGCACGAAUUGACUCUGAGAUAGCUUCUGAAUAAAAUGUAAGAU